RNAcentral lists this transfer RNA (74 nucleotides) under Ascosphaera apis ARSEF 7405. RNAcentral describes it as "tRNA-Lys (TTT) (tRNA-Lys-TTT-3-1)". It matches the Rfam family "tRNA". Rfam says of the family: Transfer RNA (tRNA) molecules are approximately 80 nucleotides in length. Lineage: Eukaryota; Fungi; Ascomycota; Eurotiomycetes; Onygenales; Ascosphaeraceae. The record is from RNAcentral.
GCCCCGAUAGCUCAGUUGGUUAGAGCAUUCGGCUUUUAACCGAAAUGUCGUGGGUUCGAUCCCCACUCGGGGCG